CCUACGGGAGGCAGCAGUGGGGAAUAUUGCACAAUGGGCGAAAGCCUGAUGCAGCGACGCCGCGUGAGGGAUGACGGCCUUCGGGUUGUAAACCUCUUUCAGCAGGGAAGAAGCGAAAGUGACGGUACCUGCAGAAGAAGCGCCGGCUAACUACGUGCCAGCAGCCGCGGUAAUACGUAGGGCGCAAGCGUUGUCCGGAAUUAUUGGGCGUAAAGAGCUCGUAGGCGGCUUGUCACGUCGGUUGUGAAAGCCCGGGGCUUAACCCCGGGUCUGCAGUCGAUACGGGCAGGCUAGAGUGUGGUAGGGGAGAUCGGAAUUCCUGGUGUAGCGGUGAAAUGCGCAGAUAUCAGGAGGAACACCGGUGGCGAAGGCGGAUCUCUGGGCCAUUACUGACGCUGAGGAGCGAAAGCGUGGGGAGCGAACAGGAUUAGAUACCCUGGUAGUCCACGCCGUAAACGGUGGGAACUAGGUGUUGGCGACAUUCCACGUCGUCGGUGCCGCAGCUAACGCAUUAAGUUCCCGCCUGGGGAGUACGGCCGCAAGGCUAAAACUCAAAGGAAUUGACGG
RNAcentral lists this ribosomal RNA (567 nucleotides) under uncultured bacterium. Its description in RNAcentral is "bacterial SSU rRNA". It matches the Rfam family "Bacterial small subunit ribosomal RNA", at positions 338 to 916 of the family's 1533-position model. The record is from RNAcentral.